Molecule: ribosomal RNA, 253 nt
Filed under: uncultured bacterium
Lineage: Bacteria
Description: partial 16S ribosomal RNA
Rfam family: Bacterial small subunit ribosomal RNA
Source: RNAcentral
UACGGAGGGUGCGAGCGUUAAUCGGAAUUACUGGGCGUAAAGCGCACGUAGGUGGUUGGGUAAGUCGGAUGUGAAAGCCCUGGGCUUAACCUGGGAACUGCACUCGAUACUGCCCGGCUAGAGUAUGGGAGAGGGAAGCGGAAUUUCCGGUGUAGCGGUGAAAUGCGUAGAUAUCUGGAGGAAUACCGGUGGCGAAGGCGGCAUCCUGGACCGGCAUUGACGCUGAGGAGCGAAAGCCAGGGGAGCAAACGGG